UACGAAGGGGGCUAGCGUUGCUCGGAAUUACUGGGCGUAAAGGGCGCGUAGGCGGCCUUCUAAGUCGAACGUGAAAUCCCCGGGCUCAACCCGGGAACUGCGUCCGAUACUGGAAGGCUUGAAUCCGGGAGAGGGAUGCGGAAUUCCAGGUGUAGCGGUGAAAUGCGUAGAUAUCUGGAGGAACACCGGUGGCGAAGGCGGCAUCCUGGACCGGUAUUGACGCUGAGGCGCGAAAGCCAGGGGAGCAAACGGG
This 253-nucleotide ribosomal RNA is filed under the name uncultured bacterium. Its description in RNAcentral is "partial 16S ribosomal RNA". It matches the Rfam family "Bacterial small subunit ribosomal RNA", at positions 524 to 776 of the family's 1533-position model. The record is from RNAcentral.